GGACAGAGGAGACAGGUGGUGCAUGGUUGUCGUCAGCUCGUGUCGUGAGAUGUUGGGUUAAGUCCCGCAACGAGCGCAACCCUUGAUCUUAGUUGCCAGCAGGUUGAGCUGGGCACUCUAAGGUGACUGCCGGUGACAAACCGGAGGAAGGUGGGGAUGACGUCAAAUCAUCAUGCCCCUUAUGACCUGGGCUACACACGUACUACAAUGGCCGGUACAACGGGAAGCGAAGCCGCGAGGUGGAGCCAAUCCUAUCAAAGCCGGUCUCAGUUCGGAUUGCAGGCUGCAACUCGCCUGCAUGAAGUCGGAAUUGCUAGUAAUCGCGGAUCAGCAUGCCGCGGUGAAUACGUUCCCGGGUCUUGUACACACCGCCCGUCACACCACGAGAGUUUACAACACCCGAAGUCGGUGGGGUAACCCGCAAGGGAGCCAGCCGCCGAAGGUGGGGUAGAUGAUUGGGGUGAAGUCGUAACAAGGUAGCCGUAUCGGAAGGUGCGGCUGGAUCACCUCCUUU
This 514-nucleotide ribosomal RNA is filed under the name Paenibacillus lacisoli. RNAcentral's name for it is "bacterial SSU rRNA". It matches the Rfam family "Bacterial small subunit ribosomal RNA", at positions 1023 to 1533 of the family's 1533-position model. Lineage: Bacteria; Bacillati; Bacillota; Bacilli; Caryophanales; Paenibacillaceae. The record is from RNAcentral.